Molecule: ribosomal RNA, 125 nt
Filed under: uncultured bacterium
Lineage: Bacteria
Description: partial 16S rRNA
Rfam family: Bacterial small subunit ribosomal RNA
Source: RNAcentral
UAGGGAAUCUUCCAGCAAUGGGCGCAAGCCUGAUGGAGCAACGCCGCGUGAAUGAUGAAGGCCUUCGGGUUGUAAAAUUCUGUCUUCUGUGAAGAAACCAGCAUGAGAGUGGAAAGCAUCAUGUC